GACACCUGAACAAGACGAGAAGGAGAAGUUUGUGUCUUAUCUGAUGGAGGGGAAAAUCAUUCUCCUUUGCCUUAUGGUGAUUGUGCAACUAGGCAUAGGCAACCCCAUUCACGUUGAUGAUUGCGUGAACGUAAUUGCCUUUACAGCCGCUGAAUGCUCAGCAUUAGAUUGCCGAAGAUCAUGCCGGAAUUCCUGGGCAGAACACGUCUAUAGAGCUUAUUGUAGGGUUGGUGAAACUCAGCAAUAUUGUUACUGCUUUAUUUGUGAUUAAAAGUGAUUGUUGCUGGUACCCAUCACGUCAAUCAAUGGCCGGCGAUGAGAUUCAAUAAUAAAAUAUUCUUGUGACAUGCA
Molecule: long non-coding RNA, 351 nt
Organism: Hordeum vulgare subsp. vulgare (domesticated barley)
Lineage: Eukaryota; Viridiplantae; Streptophyta; Magnoliopsida; Poales; Poaceae
Exons: 2
Source: RefSeq, a predicted model, not a curated record